This 328-nucleotide ribosomal RNA is filed under the name uncultured eukaryote. RNAcentral describes it as "partial 18S ribosomal RNA". It matches the Rfam family "Eukaryotic small subunit ribosomal RNA", at positions 1470 to 1796 of the family's 1831-position model. The record is from RNAcentral.
CCCUUAGAUGUUCUGGGCCGCACGCGCGCUACACUGACGAAUGCAACGAGCUUAUAACCUUGGCCGAGAGGCCUGGGCAAUCUUGUUAACGUGCAUCGUGAUAGGGAUAGAUUAUUGAAAUUAUUAAUCUUGAACGAGGAAUUCCUAGUAAACGCAGAUCAUCAAUCUGCAUUGAUUACGUCCCUGCCCUUUGUACACACCGCCCGUCGCACCUACCGAUUGGAUGGUCCGGUGAAGCCUCGGGAUUGUGGUUCUUGCCGCUUUAUUGUGGCGUGACCGCGAGAACUUGUCUAAACCUUAUCAUCUAGAGGAAGGUGAAGUCGUAACA